CUUGACGACCAUAGAGCGUUGGAACCACCUGAUCCCAUCCCGAACUCAGUAGUGAAACGACGCAUCGCCGAUGGUAGUGUGGAGCUUCUCCAUGUGAGAGUAGGUCAUCGUCAAGCUUCUAUAAGAAACCCCAGA
RNAcentral lists this ribosomal RNA (135 nucleotides) under Pseudomonas sp. AG1028. The record is from RNAcentral. Lineage: Bacteria; Pseudomonadati; Pseudomonadota; Gammaproteobacteria; Pseudomonadales; Pseudomonadaceae.